RNAcentral lists this transfer RNA (90 nucleotides) under Acidobacteriota bacterium. Its description in RNAcentral is "Acidobacteria bacterium (sponge metagenome) tRNA-Ser". It matches the Rfam family "tRNA". From Rfam's summary of the family: Transfer RNA (tRNA) molecules are approximately 80 nucleotides in length. RNAcentral also lists the same sequence under 3 other names. Lineage: Bacteria; Pseudomonadati; Acidobacteriota. The record is from RNAcentral.
GGAGAGGUGACCGAGUGGUCGAAGGUGCAUGCCUGGAAAGCAUGUGUAGGGGCAACUCUACCGUGGGUUCGAAUCCCACCCUCUCCGCCA